CUUCAACCUCCAGGACUCAAGUGAUCCUCCUACCUCAGCUCCCCAAGUAGCUAGGACCACAGGCAUGUGCCACCACACCCGGCUAAUUUUUUUUUUUUUUUUUUUUGUGGAUAGGGUGUCUCCCUGUGUUGCCCAUGCUGGUCUUGAACUCCUGGGUUCAAGUGAUCCUCCCACCUCGGGCUUCCAAACUGCUGAGAUUAUAGGCAUGAGCCACUGUGCCCGGCCUGAGAAGAGAGGAAUGUACCCAAUUUGUACAGGCUGAAGGUGACAUUACACUUAGAGGGAUCCACAGAUUCAAGAGGCUGCUUGGGGAGGGCAGCACAGUGAAGUACAAGGACUUUGACAUCAGAGAGGCCUGGAUUCAAGUCCCAAUUUCUGUGUGUGAUCUCUCUCUCUGCGGAAGCCAGCCACCGCUCUCCAAGGACUCUCGAGCAGCUCCAUCUACAGAUUCACAUGGAGAAGAAUUAAGGGUUCCUGCCAAUCACCAGCACCACUUUGCCAGCCUUGUAAGUGGGCCACCUUGGAAUUGGAGCCUCCAGUUCCUACUGACAUCUGACUGCAACAUCAUGAGAGACCCUGAGUUUGAACCACCCAGCUGAGCUGCUUCUGAGCUAACCCACUGAAACCGUGAAAGUACCUGAAUGAAACAACACCCAGUAGCCACUAGCACACCUAGCUCCCAGAUCUGUUUUUGAUGCCAUUCUUCAGUAAAAGGAAGCAAGGCUGCUUGGAGAAAUUGCUAUCAAGGACUGGGGUAGAAAAUAUACAAGAUGAAAUUGGAGCAUCUUGUAGUGCUUGAAAACAGUUGGCAUCUGUGUGAAGAUGUGAAUGGAGGAGGCAGAGUAGGCAGUGAGUGCCGCAGCCACAGCUUGUGUUCUCUGCAGCCCUGGCACAGAAGAUAGGAACACUCAUGGGGGAUGCGGCCACUGUGAUGUCUUCCCACACAAGAAGUGCCAAGUGCUUUUCUCAUGCUUUUCUGGAUUGUCCCAUGGUGGACGAGUCAGCAGGAGUGAGAUGGAGCAGCACAGUAGAGGGGCCAGGAUAUCGUUGUACAUAUUCUCAGCUAAGUGAGCACCAAUAGAGGAGAGGGAGAGUCUCAUGGAAGUUCCUUCUAAGCCUUUGGCUCUUUUUACCUUCAACAAGGUGUGCCACCUCUUUGAUCCAGCAAGUGGGAAGAACAGUCCCGGCCUCUUUGCACACAAGACCGUGAUACCAAUGCACCAUCACAGGCCCCACAGGGGAGCUGUCCGCUUCCCCACACAGCUGCUAGGGGCUCUUUUGCAUGUUCCCAACCUUUCCUGCCUUUAUCUGAUAUUCGUUCCUUAGAUCCUGGGAUGAGGAGGUGGACCAGCAGAAGGUGGGCUUGUGAAGGCAGCCCGGGGUCCAAAUCCUCCUGGCUCUUCAGCUUAGCGGGUUAGUUAACAUUCAGAAGCCUUCAUCUCCCAUCUGCAAAAUGGGCAUGUCCAACUCAGAAGCUGCCUUGAAGAAAGGGUCUACCCAGCAUGGUGCGUGGAGCCUAAGCAGUCAGUACUUCAGGACUUCACCCGGCCCCUUUCCAAUAACUGCUGCUGUCGCCCUCACAGGAUGUCACCUUCAGCGUCUGAAAGCUGGGUUUGAUGCGUCUGGAAAGGCGUCCCUGACAGGCGUCGUUGCCAGGAGCCCCUAGUGCCACCAGCAGCCAGCAGGGGAGGGCGUCCUCUGCCCGCUCACUUCUGACCCUUCUCUCGUUGCACCCGGAACAUGGUGCAGCUGGGAGCAGCCUGGGCUGCGCGGAAGGCUCAGAUUUGGGGACGGCCCUUGCCAGUGACUGUGAGCUGGGGUGUCUUGGAAACUCCCAGUCUCAGCUUCUCCAUUUAUAAGAUGAGAAUGAUCAUACCAGACUCAGGCAAGGUUGUUUGUGCAUUAGUGAAAUCAGACGUAUUAAAUAAAGUACCACAUUGAUCGUGGAGUUGUUGAAUAACCAA
RNAcentral lists this long non-coding RNA (1964 nucleotides) under Homo sapiens (human). RNAcentral's name for it is "HSALNT0399371". The record is from RNAcentral. Lineage: Eukaryota; Metazoa; Chordata; Mammalia; Primates; Hominidae.